UUUGACAUUUUUUUCCAGCUCUGUUCAGGUCACUAAUUAAAAGCCGAGGAAGUGAGCAUACAUGAAAUCAUUCCUUCCGUACAGGCAAACAGAUGGAGAGAAAUUCCAGCCUGUUUCCAGUCUUUUGUCUUCAGGGCAUUUUUGGUAUUUCCUUCAGGAAGUGAGGUUACGACCCAAAGCCUUCCUUACUGAGCAGGCUGCAGUUUCCCACAGUAAAGCUCGCACAGUGAUGACAUGCACUAUGAGAAGGUGAGCUUUAUCUUCACACUCCAACUGCAUCCUGUACAAGUGCCGUGAAACUUAAAAGUAAGACCGAGUGGGAAUGGCAGCAAGAGAGGAAAUGGAAGUCGGGCCUUGGGAAGAAGUCAUGCAGCAUGUAUUCAAGCACACAGCCGCAGCGUGUGCUGCUGCACCAGGUGGAGCUCCAACUUGCCUGCUUCUUAGGAAUGUCCUGAUAUUGCAAUAAGGUGUGCUACCAUCAAGAUUCUUCUAAUGGCAUUUCAAUGACACAGCACGUGCUGACAAAAGAUCACAGAACAGAAUUCAUUUCGUAUCUUACAUGACCUUGCCAGUGGCAGCGUGCAUCUUCAACCAGAAAGAUGUCCACAAAAAUGGCUUAAUCCCAGAACCUACUGAAACGAAGGAGUCAUUUCCAUCAGUUCUGUCAACAACUUCCAUUAACAUCACCACACCCAUGGCAGUACCAAAGCACCAGCACUGUGAUAACAGCAUCUUUACAAAAAUCAGUUUAUUAAUGUUUAGAAGUCAAUAAAACUAUGUGCAAAUUGAACAACAGAAGUCAGAAACAUAUUAAAUACUAUUUUUUAAACCAGGAAAAAAAAAUCCAUUUAAUUGCACUGGAAAUUUUACUACAAAAGCAAUUAUUUUAUUUUAUUUUUUUUACAAAAUACCACUUCUAGGAGUUGUCCAUAACUGUAAAUCAGUCAGUUGCUCUCAGCUACCCCAGAUAUACCACUUUUGUUACAGUAAUACUCGAGGUGCGUGAAGACUCCUGUAUCUCAUUAACUUAUUUACAUUGUACACAUUCAACCCCAUUAGCACAGGUUAGAAAACCAGAGAAGUAAAAACGAUACUGUAAAACAAUACAUUCAUUUUAACGACAAGCACUUCUCCCACGAAGCCGUGAACUGAUAUAAUACAAACAUAUUUCCUGCAAUUAUGAACAUUAAUAGAAUGUGCCAAAAUGUGUUGCUUUUUGUUACAGAAGUGCAUUUAUCUACAGUCAUUUCACUUGAAAUCUUACUUUUCUGAAACUCAAGGCUUUCUUUUCAGAUGAUAUGACCGAUGUUUACCUUUUGCCUUUCUCACCUGACUCUAACCUUUGCCUUCAGCUUUUAGCUCUUUUCACCUCACUAAAAAUCCUGCUGUUGUCAGCAGUAUUUUAAUCUACUAGAUUCACUCUCCGUCAUCUUUACAAGAAGUGACCUUCAGUUCUACCUUGCAUUUUGUCACGAUAAUGCAGCUUAUUUAAUGCUAUAUAACAUGGCAAACAAGGCAUGGGGCCAAACGCUGCUCUGAGCGACUCCAUGAAACCUGACGCAGUCAUGGAAUAGUACAAGGGAGUGUAACUACAGAGCCUGGCUCUUGGUCUUCAAAUGUAAUAAGGACCACCAACAAAAAUUCACAGCUAUGAUCUUGCUAAAUUAAACUCCAACAGCUUUGGACCCUGCAAAUAAAACCUUACUAUUUAACUAAAAACUCUGGAAAGUGAUGUCAAAUUAUGGUUGACCGCGGUAUAAAUUAUACCUGUACACCAUCUCUUUCCUUGUUAUGUGUUAAACAAACACUUCUGACCAACUAUACGAGCCAUCGCUAAACCCAGUACAGAAAGAGCUUUGUGUCAGUGGUUUGCUGCAAGUAAAGGAAAAAUAACUUCACAUUCUUCUCACGGGGAAAA
Molecule: non-coding RNA, 1918 nt
Organism: Coturnix japonica (Japanese quail)
Lineage: Eukaryota; Metazoa; Chordata; Aves; Galliformes; Phasianidae
Source: RefSeq, a predicted model, not a curated record